Long non-coding RNA from Pseudopipra pipra, 350 nucleotides. RefSeq lists it as uncharacterized. The record is from RefSeq and is a predicted model, not a curated record. The transcript has 4 exons. NCBI's taxonomy places the organism in Eukaryota, Metazoa, Chordata, Aves, Passeriformes, Pipridae.
GUCAUGGAGGACACUAUUUCUGCUACACAAAGGCCAGCAAUGGAUUGUGGUACCGGAUGGACGAUGAAUCUGUGCAGCUGUGUUCCAUUGACACAGUUCUCAGGCAGCAAGCCUACCUGCUGUUCUAUGCCAGAUGCUCUGAUCUGAGAAUUGGAGAAAGGCCUUCUUCCUCACUGGCACCAUCACAUGCCCCUUCCUUCCUCAGUCAGUGUGUGGCCAGCAGCAAGCAGGCGGGCUCUGUUGGACCACAGGGUCUGACUGGUAGGACUAAGGGCAUGAAGGACACUGGCAGGGAGCGGUCCCGGAGCAGAUUCCCUCUGUGGGGCAGGGAUCUCCGCAGCUGGUCUGGG